Molecule: long non-coding RNA, 915 nt
Filed under: Panax ginseng (ginseng)
Lineage: Eukaryota; Viridiplantae; Streptophyta; Magnoliopsida; Apiales; Araliaceae
Description: long non-coding RNA (PGIN_LNC004297)
Source: RNAcentral
UCUCCUGCACGCGUUUUCCUUUUUCUUGCUUGCUGUCGACAGCCUCAUCUCACCGUCCCCAUGUGCGGCUCUUUUCCGUCGUUAUCCCUCGUCUGAAUCAACUCUCCUAUUUUUCAAGUAUCAAGCUACGUUUUCCCCCUUUUUAAUUUCCUCCAAUUUUGCCCUAAUUCUUUCUAUGUGAUUUUAUAAUUAUUCAUUUGUAGUAAUUCUUUUUUUGCUAAAUCAUUUAUAUAGUACUCUUGCUUCCGGGUCAUGUUUAUUUGCAUUGGUGUGCUAAUUUAUUCACUUUUGAAUGGAAGAAAGAGCCAUCUGUACUAGCUUUGAUUAUUAUUGAUGGUGAUAACUCGUUUGGUAGCUACGACUGCAUCAUUAUUUCUUAUGUGAAUGGUUUCUCAGUUGUCAUAAUAUCUAUUUUAGUUUUAAGAAAUGGGAAUAAUGAAGUUUGAAUUAGUCUACUUCCAUAAUUUUGUGAUAUUUGAUGUCAUGAUAUCACUUUUUGUGUAAACAAAAUCAGGGUCAGCGCCCUUGAAGAGUUAGAGUUUCAUGAGUUUGUUGAGCCUCUCAAAGCUUCUCUUGAAGGUUAAAAAAUUCUCCAUAUUUGUUGGGCUCUUUUUGGUGGAUUCAGUUUUAACAUAUCCUUUGUUAAGGUAGAAAAUUUGUAAUUUGGAUGAAUGAAUUGAUUAGAGUCUAGUACGUUAUAAUUUGACACACUUAAUUUGAAUUAGACAAGGUGGGUCGCAUACAUGUUCUGUUUAUGUUCUUCUUUUCUGUUUUGGGUAAAAACAGAUUGACCAUUAGGUUUGCUAGCUUGUGGGGUUUGAAAUUCAAUCGAUACAACUAUUGUAGAAUGGAAGAUAUUGUAUACUGCAUUCUUUUGUUAGAUUGAAUUCUGUAUGAACUUCUCGUAUCUAUUAA